RNAcentral lists this ribosomal RNA (433 nucleotides) under uncultured bacterium. RNAcentral's name for it is "partial 16S ribosomal RNA". It matches the Rfam family "Bacterial small subunit ribosomal RNA", at positions 29 to 507 of the family's 1533-position model. The record is from RNAcentral.
AACGAACGCUGGCGGCAUGCCUAACACAUGCAAGUCGAACGAGACCUUCGGGUCUAGUUGCGCACGUUUGCGUAACGCGUGGGAACCUGCCCUUAGGUUCGGAAUAACUCCCCGAAAGGGGUGCUAAUACCGGAUAAUGUCUUCGGACCAAAGAUUUAUCGCCUUUUGAUGGGCCCGCGUUGGAUUAGCUAGUUGGUAGGGUAAAAGCCUACCAAGGCGACGAUCCAUAGCUGGUCUGAGAGGAUGAUCAGCCACACUGGGACUGAGACACGGCCCAGACUCCUACGGGAGGCAGCAGUGGGGAAUAUUGGACAAUGGGCGAAAGCCUGAUACAGCAAUGCCGCGUGAGUGAUGAAGGCCUUAGGGUUGUAAAGCUCUUUUACCCGGGAUGAUAAUGACAGUACCGGGAGAAUAAGCUCCGGCUAACUACGUG